Non-coding RNA from Petromyzon marinus (sea lamprey), 657 nucleotides. The record is from RefSeq and is a predicted model, not a curated record. NCBI's taxonomy places the organism in Eukaryota, Metazoa, Chordata, Hyperoartia, Petromyzontiformes, Petromyzontidae.
UCUGGAACUUUUAUCGUGCAGCCCGUUUAGUCAGUCCACUGCUGGCGAUGUCACGACGUUACCAUCCGCGUGUCUCACAGAGUUGUCCUGGUGGGCCCUCAAGUACUUGUCCUCCCAGGCUGACGGCGACGGCGAGAGGGGAGCGCCCUCGGUGGGCUCGGCGUCGUCCAGCGACCGGAACGAGUGGCGCCCGGCGACGCACGGCGCCGCCCGUCCCCACGCCGAAGACGCCGACACGACUCUCGACGAGAGCAUCCCAGAGGACGACACGCGCGCGAGCGGCGUGGCCCAGGGGCGGCCCUGGCGGAGGGGACGGCACGUGGAGGCGCAGGAGCAACGCUCGGCCGCCGCGCAGAAGCCUCCCCCCUACGCGGAGGACAGGUCGAUUGUACUUCAAUCCUGUCCGCUUACUGGCCGCUAUAAUGGUCAGGGGCACCUGGACUUGCGAUCCAGAGGUCGCCGGUUCGAUCUCCCGGCCACGGCAGUUGUAACGUUGGCAAGUUUUAUUUUUAAGUCCCCCUCUCCUGCUGCUCCUCCCCACCCCCCGUGGCCUUUGACGCCGCAGUCGAUCGGCAGGUCGCGUACGGCGGGGUAAAUUGUGGGUACUUCCACCUCAUCCACGGUGACGAGGACCAAGCGCCCCCUAUAGGGGGGCUC